Molecule: long non-coding RNA, 627 nt
Organism: Neopsephotus bourkii (Bourke's parrot)
Lineage: Eukaryota; Metazoa; Chordata; Aves; Psittaciformes; Psittacidae
Exons: 2
Source: RefSeq, a predicted model, not a curated record
CCUUCUAAAGCCUUUGGCAGGGGAUAAAUCCCUGACCAUAUGUGCCUGGAGAGCAAAAAGAAAACAAAGGAAAAUCUAAAGCCCAAGGGUAAAAGUCUGUCUGACAGGUUCAAUUGCAUAACAAAGCCCAUCCUAGGAUAGGCACAUGAUGACCAGGAACAGCUAUUUUGCAGCCCAUUUGUUGAGUGAUGGAAAUAAACAGCAGGCAAGAUUGUACAUGCCUCUUAGCCAAAAUGAAUAUCUUGCAUCAAGCCUCAAAUAUUAGUUUUGCUUUGCAGACCAUCUGCUUAUCCUCUUGGUCCCUCAGGAAUGGAGAGCAUUAAACAGUUGAUAAACACAAGUUUGAAUUUUAGAGACUUGGUGAGGAGUCUGUACUUGGGUCAUCCUGAUUUCCUGGUGAUAAUCUGACAAAUGUCAAAUUAAUCCUGAGGAACUAAAUCCAAAGUAAAUGUUCCAUGCGUAACUGAAUUAAUUUCAUGGCCAUUUGGUGCCAAAGAAUAUUCUACCCAAAAUUAAAACAUUUUAUUUUACCCUAUCACAAAUUACUAAAGAUACUCAAUGGAAGAUUUUCAAAGAGCCACAGCUGAAAAACUAACUGCAUUGGCAAAAUAAGAGCUCUGAAGCCUU